GAUGAACGCUGGCGGCGUGCCUAAUACAUGCAAGUCGAGCGAACAGACGAUGAUCUUGCUCCUCUGACGUUAGCGGCGGACGGGUGAGUAACACGUGUAUAACCUACCUAUAAUACUGGUAUAACUUCGGGAAACCGGAGCUAAUACCGUAUAAUAUAUUGAACCGCAUGGUUCAAUAGUGAAAGACGGUUUUGCUGUCACUUAUAGAUGGAUCCGCGCCGCAUUAGCUAGUUGGUAAGGUAACGGCUUACCAAGGCAACGAUGCGUAGCCGACCUGAGAGGGUGAUCGGCCACCCUGGAAGUGAGACACGGUCCAGACUCCUACGGGAGGCAGCAGUAGGGAAUCUUCCGCAAUGGGCGAAAGCCUGACGGAGCAACGCCGCGUGAGUGAUGAAGGUCUUCGGAUCGUAAAACUCUGUUAUUAGGGAAGAACAAAUGUGUAAGUAACUAUGCACGUCUUGACGGUACCUAAUCAGAAAGCCACGGCUAACUACGUG
Molecule: ribosomal RNA, 497 nt
Filed under: uncultured bacterium
Lineage: Bacteria
Description: partial 16S ribosomal RNA
Rfam family: Bacterial small subunit ribosomal RNA
Source: RNAcentral